RNAcentral lists this ribosomal RNA (440 nucleotides) under uncultured bacterium. Its description in RNAcentral is "bacterial SSU rRNA". It matches the Rfam family "Bacterial small subunit ribosomal RNA", at positions 29 to 517 of the family's 1533-position model. The record is from RNAcentral.
AACGAACGCUGGCGGCAGGCCUAACACAUGCAAGUCGAGCGCGCCCUUCGGGGUGAGCGGCGGACGGGUUAGUAACGCGUGGGAACGUACCCUUUUCUGCGGAAUAGCCUCUGGAAACGGAGAGUAAUACCGCAUACGCCCUUCGGGGGAAAGAAUUUCGGUGAAGGAUCGGCCCGCGUUAGAUUAGGUAGUUGGUGGGGUAACGGCCUACCAAGCCUACGAUCUAUAGCUGGUUUUAGAGGAUGAUCAGCAACACUGGGACUGAGACACGGCCCAGACUCCUACGGGAGGCAGCAGUGGGGAAUCUUGGACAAUGGGGGCAACCCUGAUCCAGCCAUGCCGCGUGAGUGAAGAAGGCCUGCGGGUUGUAAAGCACUUUCGCUAGGGAAGAUAAUGACGGUACCUAGAUAAGAAGCACCGGCUAACUCCGUGCCCAGCCG